Molecule: ribosomal RNA, 2905 nt
Filed under: Escherichia coli
Lineage: Bacteria; Pseudomonadati; Pseudomonadota; Gammaproteobacteria; Enterobacterales; Enterobacteriaceae
Description: 23S ribosomal RNA
Rfam family: Bacterial large subunit ribosomal RNA
Source: RNAcentral
GGUUAAGCGACUAAGCGUACACGGUGGAUGCCCUGGCAGUCAGAGGCGAUGAAGGACGUGCUAAUCUGCGAUAAGCGUCGGUAGGGUGAUAUGAACCGUUAUAACCGGCGAUUUCCGAAUGGGGAAACCCAGUGUGUUUCGACACACUAUCAUUAACUGAAUCCAUAGGUUAAUGAGGCGAACCGGGGGAACUGAAACAUCUAAGUACCCCGAGGAAAAGAAAUCAACCGAGAUUCCCCCAGUAGCGGCGAGCGAACGGGGAGCAGCCCAGAGCCUGAAUCAGUGUGUGUGUUAGUGGAAGCGUCUGGAAAGGCGCGCGAUACAGGGUGACAGCCCCGUACACAAAAAUGCACAUGCUGUGAGCUCGAUGAGUAGGGCGGGACACGUGGUAUCCUGUCUGAAUAUGGGGGGACCAUCCUCCAAGGCUAAAUACUCCUGACUGACCGAUAGUGAACCAGUACCGUGAGGGAAAGGCGAAAAGAACCCCGGCGAGGGGAGUGAAAAAGAACCUGAAACCGUGUACGUACAAGCAGUGGGAGCACGCUUAGGCGUGUGACUGCGUACCUUUUGUAUAAUGGGUCAGCGACUUAUAUUCUGUAGCAAGGUUAACCGAAUAGGGGAGCCGAAGGGAAACCGAGUCUUAACUGGGCGUUAAGUUGCAGGGUAUAGACCCGAAACCCGGUGAUCUAGCCAUGGGCAGGUUGAAGGUUGGGUAACACUAACUGGAGGACCGAACCGACUAAUGUUGAAAAAUUAGCGGAUGACUUGUGGCUGGGGGUGAAAGGCCAAUCAAACCGGGAGAUAGCUGGUUCUCCCCGAAAGCUAUUUAGGUAGCGCCUCGUGAAUUCAUCUCCGGGGGUAGAGCACUGUUUCGGCAAGGGGGUCAUCCCGACUUACCAACCCGAUGCAAACUGCGAAUACCGGAGAAUGUUAUCACGGGAGACACACGGCGGGUGCUAACGUCCGUCGUGAAGAGGGAAACAACCCAGACCGCCAGCUAAGGUCCCAAAGUCAUGGUUAAGUGGGAAACGAUGUGGGAAGGCCCAGACAGCCAGGAUGUUGGCUUAGAAGCAGCCAUCAUUUAAAGAAAGCGUAAUAGCUCACUGGUCGAGUCGGCCUGCGCGGAAGAUGUAACGGGGCUAAACCAUGCACCGAAGCUGCGGCAGCGACACUAUGUGUUGUUGGGUAGGGGAGCGUUCUGUAAGCCUGUGAAGGUGUGCUGUGAGGCAUGCUGGAGGUAUCAGAAGUGCGAAUGCUGACAUAAGUAACGAUAAAGCGGGUGAAAAGCCCGCUCGCCGGAAGACCAAGGGUUCCUGUCCAACGUUAAUCGGGGCAGGGUGAGUCGACCCCUAAGGCGAGGCCGAAAGGCGUAGUCGAUGGGAAACAGGUUAAUAUUCCUGUACUUGGUGUUACUGCGAAGGGGGGACGGAGAAGGCUAUGUUGGCCGGGCGACGGUUGUCCCGGUUUAAGCGUGUAGGCUGGUUUUCCAGGCAAAUCCGGAAAAUCAAGGCUGAGGCGUGAUGACGAGGCACUACGGUGCUGAAGCAACAAAUGCCCUGCUUCCAGGAAAAGCCUCUAAGCAUCAGGUAACAUCAAAUCGUACCCCAAACCGACACAGGUGGUCAGGUAGAGAAUACCAAGGCGCUUGAGAGAACUCGGGUGAAGGAACUAGGCAAAAUGGUGCCGUAACUUCGGGAGAAGGCACGCUGAUAUGUAGGUGAAGUCCCUCGCGGAUGGAGCUGAAAUCAGUCGAAGAUACCAGCUGGCUGCAACUGUUUAUUAAAAACACAGCACUGUGCAAACACGAAAGUGGACGUAUACGGUGUGACGCCUGCCCGGUGCCGGAAGGUUAAUUGAUGGGGUUAGCCGCAAGGCGAAGCUCUUGAUCGAAGCCCCGGUAAACGGCGGCCGUAACUAUAACGGUCCUAAGGUAGCGAAAUUCCUUGUCGGGUAAGUUCCGACCUGCACGAAUGGCGUAAUGAUGGCCAGGCUGUCUCCACCCGAGACUCAGUGAAAUUGAACUCGCUGUGAAGAUGCAGUGUACCCGCGGCAAGACGGAAAGACCCCGUGAACCUUUACUAUAGCUUGACACUGAACAUUGAGCCUUGAUGUGUAGGAUAGGUGGGAGGCUUUGAAGUGUGGACGCCAGUCUGCAUGGAGCCGACCUUGAAAUACCACCCUUUAAUGUUUGAUGUUCUAACGUUGACCCGUAAUCCGGGUUGCGGACAGUGUCUGGUGGGUAGUUUGACUGGGGCGGUCUCCUCCUAAAGAGUAACGGAGGAGCACGAAGGUUGGCUAAUCCUGGUCGGACAUCAGGAGGUUAGUGCAAUGGCAUAAGCCAGCUUGACUGCGAGCGUGACGGCGCGAGCAGGUGCGAAAGCAGGUCAUAGUGAUCCGGUGGUUCUGAAUGGAAGGGCCAUCGCUCAACGGAUAAAAGGUACUCCGGGGAUAACAGGCUGAUACCGCCCAAGAGUUCAUAUCGACGGCGGUGUUUGGCACCUCGAUGUCGGCUCAUCACAUCCUGGGGCUGAAGUAGGUCCCAAGGGUAUGGCUGUUCGCCAUUUAAAGUGGUACGCGAGCUGGGUUUAGAACGUCGUGAGACAGUUCGGUCCCUAUCUGCCGUGGGCGCUGGAGAACUGAGGGGGGCUGCUCCUAGUACGAGAGGACCGGAGUGGACGCAUCACUGGUGUUCGGGUUGUCAUGCCAAUGGCACUGCCCGGUAGCUAAAUGCGGAAGAGAUAAGUGCUGAAAGCAUCUAAGCACGAAACUUGCCCCGAGAUGAGUUCUCCCUGACUCCUUGAGAGUCCUGAAGGAACGUUGAAGACGACGACGUUGAUAGGCCGGGUGUGUAAGCGCAGCGAUGCGUUGAGCUAACCGGUACUAAUGAACCGUGAGGCUUAACCUU